AUCACGGAUGCGCGUUGAUCAUUUCAGUGGCGUUGAUCGAGUGUGUAACGUUACGUUAUUUGUUUAUUAACUUGGGAGGAAGACGCCAAGUUUUCAUUCUAUUUCAAUGGUGCGCCCUGACACGGUGAAGAGUGAAAAAUUGAAUGCGGCAUAAAUCAGGAAUACUGAUUCAGAUAUUGGAUCAAGAAUCAAGGCACGCCUUAAUCAAGUUGCGCAAUAGUUGUGCGCUGCUAAAGUAAUAUCCCAGCAAGAAAAAAAAAAAGGCUGGAACGCUACACCGUGUGGCUUUGGCGUCUCUCACGGCAACAUACACUGACUCGGAGGGUGAGGACGGGGGAGGGGACGAUCUACAGGAGAGUAACAUCCCGCAGGGGACUACUGCCCCGCAAAAUGUCCAAUUUGGUCAGCCCCAGGGUUUCAC
RNAcentral lists this unclassified non-coding RNA (421 nucleotides) under Neodiprion lecontei (redheaded pine sawfly). RNAcentral's name for it is "sAP30-binding protein, transcript variant X1". RNAcentral also lists the same sequence under 1 other name. Lineage: Eukaryota; Metazoa; Arthropoda; Insecta; Hymenoptera; Diprionidae. The record is from RNAcentral.